AUAAGCCUCGGGAAUCAAGUCUUCUGGAAAACCACAAAAUAUAUAAAUCACGUUCCUUGCCCUCUUGCAAAAUCACCUAGCACCAUGCGUCCGAACUCGACGAGAGCUGACCAAGAAAAGAAAGAAUGCUGGAAUUCCGAUAAGGAACUUUAGAAGUAGGGACUUAUCGAUUGGUCGACCUCAUUAAGGAACAGUUAUAAGAAAUAUCGAUUCCCCGAAAGUUUCGAUAUUCGAAAGCGUCAUUCGUUGGCAUGAUUAUUAGCCUGAUUAGCCUGAUUCUAAUAUUCUAAAAUCUAUUGUAGAGCUUUAAAAACAUCAUCAGAUUCAAAAUUGAAGGUGACUUAGACAAUAAAAAACAAUGAAAAUUACCAUUUUUUAAAUAACGUGGAGUUAGUUGGCCACCCUAAAUUAACCUAUAAUUUUUAAAGGCUUCUUAAUCGGUAUCGCAGCUUUAGGGAGUUGCCAGCUUAAAAUUUGAAUAUUGUACUGAUUUUAACAUUUGUACACAUGUUGUUUACAAACAUUCUGGAUUUUAGAACAUCAAGAUGUACGUUGCAUUUCAUUAAGUUUCCAGCGCCAAGAGGAUGGUGAAUACUGGAGAUCAAAAAGGAGCCCAGCGAAGAGUCAAUAAUCCUAACCAUACUAUUCCAGUUCCUCCGGUGGCAGUUUGUGGCAAAGAUCAGGAAUAAACACACAAGGGAGCUGAAGAAGGAAUCGAAAUCAGUUUGGACAAGUCCAAAUUCUUCCGGAUUUUAAUGGAUCUUCAUGUGUUUUUGAACAGAUUUUCGAACAACCUGGAGGACACUGUGUUCACCCAAGUGGGCACCUUCCUUGCCGCGACACCACCACCACCCACACCGGCGUGACAAGGCAGGCUUCGCUUUCCGCGCCUUUGCAUGCGACAAGUUUGUCACUGUGAUUUAUGCCUGAGAGGAGAGGGUUACACCACCGAACCGACAAGCGGGUGUGGUGGGUGAAUAGUCAAAAAAGCGGGUACACACGGCCGUGCCAGUGGAGAACAAGGGGCGGCAGUCAAAAAGACAGCCGAGCAGAGGAAGCUGAGCCAGUCGGGCGCUGGCAGGCGUCAACAGGAUGCGGAGGACGAAGGAAGGGGUGGAUCGGCGUCGAAUGGCGAGUGGCGGGUGGCGGGUGGCGGAGGAGAAAACGGAUGAGCAGGCGAAGGAGCGAACGGCGGAGGGUUGCGAUUACAGUGUCAUUGGCAGCGUCGACGGCGUCACUUUGCGCACUGCCAAGUGCAGCCACCAGAACCGAAUCCAAUAUCCAAAUCACAGCCACACCACCCAGCCAACGAAACGGGGAAAGAAACGACAAGCAGGGCAGGGGCGAAUACACGCCCAACAGCUACAAUUGAAAAUUUUAUUUCAUUUUUAUGGCUUUUGGAAAUUAAAUUGUUGUCAUCGCAUACAAAAUUAACCAGAGCAGCGGGAUUUGCAUAGCCAGUCAAGAGGUGUGACCUCUAACCCCCACCAUCCAUCAUCCACCAUCUACCAUCUACCAUCUAGCAACUGGCACCCAACAGCCACACGACAUAGUCACCGAUGUUAUUGUUAUAGCCGCUGUAUCUCACCCGCUGGGCCUGCGGUCUUUAACAUUUAGCAAAACAUUUGAUUGCCAUCAGGAUAAUCCCGAGGGGAUGUCCCAGGACGCGAGGAUGUGGGCUGCCAGGAGCUGUUUGAUUGCCCGGGAGGAGUAUCACAUCUCCAUAAAGCUCACAAAGCCCGAGGCCUUAAAUAAAUGUUUAUUUUAAGCAAUAUAGUCAAGCAUUAAAAUGCAAAACUUAAAGACUGUCAACGAACUUUAACAAACGUGCACGAGCCAAAGUCAAGAGUAAAUAAGGCCUGGAAAAGAAAGCUGGGAGAAGCCACUUCGAUGGUCAGCAGCCAAAGUAAAAUCUUAGAUUUCCAACUUUAAGUUUCCCGACAGCCGGAGUCAAUUUGCAAUUAGAUGUUAUCCAAAGGCAAACGGACACCCAGGAAACGGGGAUUUGAACAAGGUCCCGCAUAAAAAACUAAACACACGCAGCAAUCAAUCGAUUAAAAAAGGGCAAAGGAGGAAAAGUUUUGAGCCGUCGGUGGGCGAUGGCACAGACCAGACUAGACGCGGAGGUGAGCGUGGACGAGGCGGACACCACCUAUGGUGUCCAGAUCGAGGUCCUGCCGGAAGGACACCCCAGGGACCCGCAGGCAGCUCAAGGAAGUCGCCUGGCUGGCUUUUGUCUAAUGCGCCGCUUAUCUUGAUAUUAUUUGGCCAUAAAAAAGGACACGGACACAUGGUCGAGGAAUGGGCACGGAUAACACUGGAAGAAACAUUUCACACAGUGAAUAAAAAAAGAGAUCCGCGCAGCGCUCUUUUGGCUUACUGAUUAAAUGCCAAAUGUGCCAGAAUCAUAAUAUAACCGAGACAUCGAGAUGUUCUUAAAAAUCGUUGACAUUCUGCACCCAUUUUCCGGCUGUAACCCAAUCCUCCAGCCAAGUCAUUGUGCUCCUAAGGGCAAGGAAAAUUGCAACAUUUCACAUGUCACAACGAGGGCGAUUUCCCUACCACCCAAAAUAAAAUGGACCAUGUCGAAUCCUGCGGGUUCCGUUGAUUUCCUUGCCCGAAAAAAAAAAAAACCCAGCCACGCGCGUUUCAAAUCCCUUUAGUUACACUGUUUCAAAAUUAAAUAUUUACAUUUUGUAUGCGGAGGCGGAUGCGGCGGUCAUGAGGUCUGAAUCUCGAUUCACAUGUGGGUGUUUUGGCCGGAAUGGUGGUAUCUAGCUACUGGAUACACUGGACAUCUAAUCGGUCGGUGGUGGGCUGCCAGCUCCGUCAGCUGGCCGUGAGCACUUGUCGUGGACAGUGGCGCAGCUGGUCAAGGGGACUUGCCGACUAGCUGGACCCCACCGAGUGACGCCCCUGCCAGUCGCAUAUGAGCUCAGAUCAUCAAUUCCCCGUUGGCCGGAUGGGGUGGUGGCCACCAUGCAGUUUCCGAUGCGCGUUUAUUUAGUAAUUUGUUUGUCUCCCGACUUAGUCACGGUUUAUGGUUGACAUUUAUUUUAUGAGCGUGAAAAAUAUAUCUCUCGCCAGUGGCAGCCACACCACCCAUCGCGGGAUUCCAGGCGGGGUUGCAGGCAGGUGGCUGCACCACCCACUCCACCCACAUGCGCCACUUAAGCCAAUUUUGAUAGCGGCUUAUUGAUGGUCGAGCGACUGGCGAUUUGUGCAUUGGUCUCGCUCGAACUUGCUGAUUGAAUCAGUGCGGUAGUGGGACAAGGACGAGAUCGAUGGGCAGUUCGUGCUCGCUCGUACAAUCUGUACUCCUGGUCAGGCGAGUCGGAUCUUAAUGGCUAGUUCGAGCACUUGAUAUAUGGAAAUGCCGGAUCGACAAGGCAACCAGCGACAGAUAAGAGGAAAUGUCGUCUGAAUUUCUCUACGUUUGGCACUUCCUUAAGCGAGUAUUGUUAACUGCUGCUAAGCCCAUCAAUUAUGCCGGGAGGCAUACCAUCCUUACAAACUUAUUGGCCUAUAAACUAAUCGCAUAAUUGCACAAAAGUAAUUAUCCUUGGGCUGAGCCUCGGCUAGCUCAUUGUGCAGCAACUAUGCGGCACAUCCUAUAUCCUGCAUCCUGAGGCAUUAGUGCUUAGCCCUCAACCCCUGGCGCUCUGAUUUUUCCACCUUGCUGGCCAACUAUGCGGCUCAUCCGCUCCGCUGAACGCCGCCAGAAGGAAGUGCCGUGCAGGACCCAAAUCGCAGGACGCAGGGCUCAGAUCGCUGCAAAACAGUUGAAAAAACACAACGGGCCAAACAACAAAAACAAACACAAGGACAUCUCUUUGUUUGCAGAAAGCGAAAGAGAGGUGAAAUUAAAAUCAAGCUGUUGAUAGCAAUCACACACUCCUGGCUGCCUGAAAUGAAUAAAUCGAGGUGAUGCUGGUGCUGGUGCAUAACAUUGCUCAAUAAGCGGACACCUUGUUGGAUUUUUAUGGAGACCAUGGUGCAGGCACUUCUCGCAGUGGUCAUGUCCUGGCUGUUGUCCCUACAAUUCCGAUGACGUUGCCAAGAGAGUGGGAUGCAUGCAUCACUAGCCGUCACAUGGCCAACUGUUUUGGCUUCCUGCUUUCGACCAAUCUGCGACUGUCAUCCGUCAUUCCAUUUACUGGAUGCUUGCCAUUUCUUUGGCUCCCGAAUCUCCGCCUCUUCAUCUGCAUCUCCUCAAAACAAGAUGGAACCAUGUCAUCUCUGGCUGGCUAAAUGGCUCUACGCAACUGCAACUCUUUCGUUGCCCCAAAUUGGCCUUGAGGCAAUGAUUGGCUGCCGCUGCUGCCCAGAUGCCGGCACUACCCUCCACCCCCCAGAUGGACCACCCCCUUGGGCCACCACAAGAGCCCCAGUCCCCCCGCUUUUUUUGCGUUUCUUUCGCACUGAUCUCAGCUGUCGUCGCUUGUUAGUGCGCACGCGUGUCUUUCUCUCUCUAAGAAGCAGACAGCGCGUGUGUUCCCCUCUCCAUCGCACUCAACGCCCGCCCAGUCACGUCCUCUCACUCACUCCGCCAGCUCUCCCACUCGCACCCAUCACGAUCGUGAGGCGUUGAUGGCGAUGGCGCUGAAGCUGGCGCGCAUGUGCAACGCAGCCACAAAAUCGCAAUUGCCGGGACCAAAAACCAAAAUGAAAAAAAGUACGGAAAAAAAGAGUAACCAAAAGCUUGAGCUGGCACAACGUUGUAAGACAUAGUUUGUUGCCAGAGCCACUCCCCCCCCCCUCCUUCCCCUCCACCACACCGCUGUGCCCCUGUGCCUGUGUGUGCGGGACCUCCCGCAGAUAAUUGCCCAUCAUCUCAUCAAGUUCCGCCCAGCUAUUUAACAACCGAGGAGCAGGAGCUGCAGGAGGAGGUUCGGGGGCCCCGAGAGCAAUGAAACCCACAAAACAAGACACCAAAAUGAUGAACGCGACCACGCAAAGUAGAAGUAGCUGCCCGAUCUGGGAGUCGAGGAAGGAGUCUGGCUCCAGACCAUACAAUCCCGAGGGCCGCUACGUUCAGCAGGAACUUCUCGAGCGGCCUUGGGCUGGCGCCACCAACAUUGAGCAGCAGCUUGGGGCGGCGGCUGCAGAUCGGCUCCAAAUCGCAGCAGUCCAGGUUGCAGCUCCACUGCAACCACAGGCAUCAAUAGCACCACCGACGACGAAAAAGCAGGAGGAGACCAAGAAGAUCCAAGCAUGUUAAUCGAGUCAUAUCGAUUUUGGCGUGGUUCGUGUCUCGGACGUUUUGCCCAACCACCGUCCUUCGCCCCCCCAAAAAGGGGGAGGGUCCGAUCCCAUCAGCGAACUCGUAACUAAAUUGAAUCCAAUUGCAGACGAGUCAGGCCAAAUAACUGUGAGACAUAAUGAAUGAGUGUUGGCCAAAUUGCAACUUGACUUGCCAGCCGGGCAGUUAAGGGUUAAUGGAUGGGCACCAAGGGAUGGCUUGCAGGGGGGGUUCAGAGGAUGGUGCUCUGCAUCUUCCAGUUUAUGGCCCAGCCACUAAUAUCUCAAUUGGCCAGCGGAAGGUUCGAUUAACUGCACCAUUGGGCCACCCACCUGGGGCAUCUGCACUUGGACAUCUGCAUGAAUGCAUCCAUAAGGGCAAAUGAAUCAUUCAUUCUAAAAGAGUGUACAGUAUUCACAGUUUAUUUGAAUCCCCUUCGAGGACGCCUACCCACGCUAUGCAGGACUUAGAGGACACUCCGAUUAUCACCAUCGACGACGAGGUUCUUCACGACGAGGACGACAAGGACAACUCCCAGGUAUCCGCUGAUGGUGGCUAGCAAAUAACAAACCCCAGUGAUAAAGGAAAAAUAAAAUAUACACGAAUUUUC
Non-coding RNA from Drosophila melanogaster (fruit fly), 5852 nucleotides. The record is from Ensembl. Lineage: Eukaryota; Metazoa; Arthropoda; Insecta; Diptera; Drosophilidae.